AACGAACGCUGGCGGCAUGCCUAACACAUGCAAGUCGAACGAUCCCUUCGGGGAUAGUGGCGCACGGGUGCGUAACGCGUGGGAACCUGCCCUUAGGUUCGGAAUAACUCAGAGAAAUUUGAGCUAAUACCGGAUAAUGUCUUCGGACCAAAGAUUUAUCGCCUUUGGAUGGGCCCGCGUUGGAUUAGCUAGUUGGUGGGGUAAAGGCCUACCAAGGCGACGAUCCAUAGCUGGUCUGAGAGGAUGAUCAGCCACACUGGGACUGAGACACGGCCCAGACUCCUACGGGAGGCAGCAGUGGGGAAUAUUGGACAAUGGGCGAAAGCCUGAUCCAGCAAUGCUGCGUGAGUGAUGAAGGCCUUAGGGUUGUAAAGCUCUUUUACCCGGGAUGAUAAUGACAGUACCGGGAGAAUAAGCCCCGGCUAACUCCGUG
RNAcentral lists this ribosomal RNA (433 nucleotides) under uncultured bacterium. RNAcentral describes it as "partial 16S ribosomal RNA". It matches the Rfam family "Bacterial small subunit ribosomal RNA", at positions 29 to 507 of the family's 1533-position model. The record is from RNAcentral.